Molecule: ribosomal RNA, 497 nt
Filed under: uncultured bacterium
Lineage: Bacteria
Description: partial 16S ribosomal RNA
Rfam family: Bacterial small subunit ribosomal RNA
Source: RNAcentral
GAUGAACGCUGGCGGCGUGCCUAAUACAUGCAAGUCGAGCGAACAGACGAGGAGCUUGCUCCUCUGACGUUAGCGGCGGACGGGUGAGUAACACGUGGAUAACCUACCUAUAAGACUGGGAUAACUUAGGGAAACCGGAGCUAAUACCGGAUAAUAUAUUGAACCGCAUGGUUCAAUAGUGAAAGACGGUUUUGCUGUCACUUAUAGAUGGAUCCGCGCCGCAUUAGCUAGUUGGUACGGUAACGGCUUACCAAGGCAACGAUGCGUAGCCGACCUGAGAGGGUGAUCAGCCACACUGGAACUGAGACACGGUCCAGACUCCUACGGGAGGCAGCAGUAGGGAAUCUUCCGCAAUGGGCGAAAGCCUGACGGAGCAACGCCGCGUGAGUGAUGAAGGUCUUCGGAUCGUAAAACUCUGUUAGUUGGGAAGAACAAAAGUGUAAGUAACUAUGCACGUCUUGACGGUACCUAAUCAGAAAGCCACGGCUAACUACGUG